UGGGGUUGGGGGGGGGGUAGAACACAAUCAUAUUUACACACAGGUACAAGACACUCCGGUGAAUGCAUGCAGAACAUACCUACCAUGCCAUCAUUGUGCUUCGUCUUGGAGUUGAAGCAGGCAUUAGUGGAAAGAGACCGGACUUCCUCCUCAGGUCCUUGUUCUGUUGGUGGAAAAUCACUCUCUGUGAUUUAAACUGGGUCCUCAGACGCGAGUGAAGAAGCGAUCUGUGUUUCAGAAGGUACCUGUCCUUCAUGAAGCCUUCAGGGAUCAUGCAGACCGGCUUGCUGAACUCCUUAGCCGGUGAAGGCGGCAUCAUCUCCUGACAGACAGCCAGUCGAAACAAAAUGACAGCUUAAUGCACGGACGACACGAUGUGACGGUCGCCUUCGGAAGGCUAGGUUAAAAAUAAAACCCGAUACCAUUGGCAUAAGUCCGCAAGUCCACCACGGUAACGGGGGAUCUGUAUGGUGAUGGGGAGCUGCUUUGGAAACAUACGGUUAUGGGCUCUCGCCUCCUCCCUAAGUGAUUUCUUCUGGAAGGCAUUACUGCUAGCAGAUUAUAAAGGAGGGUUUUAUUGCCUUUUGCUUUACUGAAACAGUAGGAGUAGGAAAGAUGAUUAGAGUAAUUGAGGUCGUAAAUCAAGCUGCUUCGACUCCGAGAAUCAUCUUGCCGAGGAUUCUUAUUUUAUGUUGCGCCAUUGAUACGCGAGGAGAGCUGGAUCCGUUCAUUUGAUAGAGCAGGGAAGCACAUGUCAAAUAGCUAAUGAAGUUCUCCCCAAAUGGCAGUUUUUGUCCUUUGUCGUCUUCUUUCCACAAAGGGGUAAGAACUACACCUCCGUACACAGUUCAAACAGCAUAUUUAUUUACUCCGGCAGGUCUUUUGUAUUGAUCAUGCAUUUAUUAAGGUGAAAGCUAUAUGUAGUGAGUGACUGGGGGGUUGCUCAUGCCUCUGGAGGCUGGACCUUGGUGAGAAUGCAUUUCUAUUAACAAGAAAAUAAACUAUGUUUAUUAGUAAAAUUCUUGGUUUGCAUGGAAUGGCGUCCAAACAGAACACAUUUAUGGGUGAAGCCUUAUGGAAGGCCAAAAGAUUCAAAAUGUGUUAGCUUUUUUCGCAUUAAUAUGCUCAAAAUUGAUUUGUUAAUACACACAAUUUUUAUAUAUUAAUGAGUAAUAACGCGUUAUCAUGUACAAAAUGUAUGUAAGGCCAAAAUGGUCAAAACAUGCUCAAAAUUUGUGUGUUACCUCCUGCACACCCUACCUGCCUGCCCCUACUGUUUUCUCUCUGGCACGAUUCUGUCGAGCCAUUCCUAUUACUGUACACGUUAGUCUUACCUCUCGGUCCAGCCCUUGUGUGAUUUACUCCAGCUGCCUCUUGUUUGCUCCCUCAUUAGUCCUUGUAAUAAAGUGCUUCCCAGCCCUUUGUUCCUGGCAUUGACAACUGUCUUGUUUGUAGCCUGUCUUUGCCUUAGCCUUCUGUGUUCCUGUUUUUGAUCCCACUUAAUUUAUAUUUAUAUUAAAGAUAAGGAUGACCAUAA
This is a long non-coding RNA of Brienomyrus brachyistius, 1537 nucleotides long. RefSeq lists it as uncharacterized. The record is from RefSeq and is a predicted model, not a curated record. The transcript is spliced from 3 exons. NCBI's taxonomy places the organism in Eukaryota, Metazoa, Chordata, Actinopteri, Osteoglossiformes, Mormyridae.